UGCGAAGGGUGCAAGCGUUACUCGGAAUUACUGGGCGUAAAGCGUGCGUAGGUGGUUCGUUAAGUCUGAUGUGAAAGCCCUGGGCUCAACCUGGGAAUGGCAUUGGAAACUGGCGACCUAGAGUGCGGUAGAGGGUAGUGGAAUUCCCGGUGUAGCAGUGAAAUGCGUAGAGAUCGGGAGGAACAUCCGUGGCGAAGGCGACUACCUGGACCAGCACUGACACUGAGGCACGAAAGCGUGGGGAGCAAACAGG
This 253-nucleotide ribosomal RNA is filed under the name uncultured bacterium. Its description in RNAcentral is "partial 16S ribosomal RNA". It matches the Rfam family "Bacterial small subunit ribosomal RNA", at positions 524 to 776 of the family's 1533-position model. The record is from RNAcentral.